RNAcentral lists this ribosomal RNA (465 nucleotides) under Vreelandella stevensii. RNAcentral's name for it is "partial 16S ribosomal RNA". It matches the Rfam family "Bacterial small subunit ribosomal RNA", at positions 338 to 795 of the family's 1533-position model. The record is from RNAcentral. Lineage: Bacteria; Pseudomonadati; Pseudomonadota; Gammaproteobacteria; Oceanospirillales; Halomonadaceae.
CCUACGGGGGGCUGCAGUGGGGAAUAUUGGACAAUGGGCGAAAGCCUGAUCCAGCCAUGCCGCGUGUGUGAAGAAGGCCUUCGGGUUGUAAAGCACUUUCAGUGGGGAAGAAAGCCUUGGGGCUAAUACCCUCGAGGAAGGACAUCACCCACAGAAGAAGCACCGGCUAACUCCGUGCCAGCAGCCGCUGUAAUACGGAGGGUGCGAGCGUUAAUCGGAAUUACUGGGCGUAAAGCGCGCGUAGGCGGUCUGAUAAGCCGGUUGUGAAAGCCCCGGGCUCAACCUGGGAACGGCAUCCGGAACUGUCAGGCUAGAGUGCAGGAGAGGAAGGUAGAAGUCCCGGUGUAGCGGUGAAAUGCGUAGAGAUCGGGAGGAAUACCAGUGGCGAAGGCGGCCUUCUGGACUGACACUGACGCUGAGGUGCGAAAGCGUGGGUAGCAAACAGGAUUAGAUACCCGAGUAGUC